AACGCACCUUGCGCUCCUUGGUAUUCCGAGGAGCAUGCCUGUUUGAGUGUCAUUAAAUUCUCAACCACUUCAAUUUGUUUACCAAUUUGAAUUGGCUUGGAUAUGGGAGUUGCGGGCUUCUAAGCAAGUCGGCUCUUCUUAAAUGCAUUAGCAGAACUUUUGUUGACCAUCAUUGGUGUGAUAAUUAUCUACGCCAUCUGAAUGUGAAACAGUUUAUAUAGAGUUCAGCUUCCAACUGUCCAUUGACUUGGACAAUUUAUUGACUAUUUGACCUCAAAUCAGGUAGGACUACCCGCUGAACUUAA
RNAcentral lists this unclassified non-coding RNA (305 nucleotides) under uncultured Ampulloclitocybe. Its description in RNAcentral is "sequence contains ITS2". The stretch from base 1 to 52 matches the Rfam family "5.8S ribosomal RNA", at positions 103 to 154 of the family's 154-position model. Lineage: Eukaryota; Fungi; Basidiomycota; Agaricomycetes; Agaricales; Tricholomataceae. The record is from RNAcentral.